AAGAUGAGAUAUCCCAUAACGUCAAGUUAGUAAGACCCCUUGAAGACGACGAGGUAGAUAGGGCAGAGGUGGAAGUGUGGUAACGCAUGGAGCUGACUGUUACUAAUAGGUCGAGGGCAUAACCAAG
This 127-nucleotide ribosomal RNA is filed under the name Mediterraneibacter gnavus. RNAcentral describes it as "[Ruminococcus] gnavus partial 23S ribosomal RNA". It matches the Rfam family "Bacterial large subunit ribosomal RNA", at positions 2801 to 2925 of the family's 2925-position model. Lineage: Bacteria; Bacillati; Bacillota; Clostridia; Lachnospirales; Lachnospiraceae. The record is from RNAcentral.